This 25-nucleotide non-coding RNA is filed under the name Drosophila melanogaster (fruit fly). Lineage: Eukaryota; Metazoa; Arthropoda; Insecta; Diptera; Drosophilidae. The record is from RNAcentral.
UACAAACAGCCGAAAGAGCGUCCAG